Molecule: long non-coding RNA, 648 nt
Filed under: Olea europaea (common olive)
Lineage: Eukaryota; Viridiplantae; Streptophyta; Magnoliopsida; Lamiales; Oleaceae
Description: long non-coding RNA (OEUR_LNC007883)
Source: RNAcentral
GUGGGUGCACAACGGGAGGCUUGGGCUUGAAUGGAGGAUGAACAAUUGGAGGCUUGGGCUUGAAUGGAGGAUGUACAACUGGUGGCUUGGGAUGGAAUGGAGGAUGCACAACUGGUGGCUUGGGGUGGAAUGGAGGAUGCACAAAUGGAGGCUUGGGAUGGAACGGAGGAUGCACAAAUGGAGGCUUGGGGUGGAACGGAGGAUGCACAAAUGGAGGCUUGGGAUGGAACGGAGGAUGCACAAUGGGAGGCUUGGGAGUGAAAGGUGGCUUAACUAUGGGAGGUUUCGGUGGUGGCUUUAUAAUGGGAGGUUUUGGAGUGAAAGGUGGCUUAACUACGGGAGGUUUCGGUGGCGGCUUUACAAUGGGAGGCUUGGGAGUGAAAGGUGGCUUAACUAUUGGAGGUUUCGGUGGUGGCUUUACAAUAGGAGGUAGCACACGUGGUGGCGGUUUUACGACGGGAGGUUUGGGGGAGGGAUAGUGUGGUGGCUUAACUACGGGAGGUUUCGGUGGCGGCUUAACUACGGGAGGUUUCGGUGGCGGCUUUACAAUGGGAGGCUUGGGAAUGAAAGGUGGCUUAACUAUUGGAGGUUUCGGUGGCGGCUUUACAAUAGGAGGUAGCACAUGUGGUGGCGGUUUUACGACGGGAG